GUUUGGUUUUAUAAGGAACACAGUAAACAUAAAUCUUAUGAUUUUCAGGAAAUCUUUCACUCUGAGAUUGAAACAUGUUCCAUGAAAACGAGAAACAGAUGUGCAAUUGAAAUAUAAAACUAAAUAAAUUUAGAACUGCAAUUUAAAUCCCUUUAUAAACCCAGAUCAAUAUAUAGACUGUAUAUACUUUUAAAUUUUACAUUGGUUUUUCCUUUGCUCUUUUCUCUUGAAUGCUGUUACAUUUUUGCUCAAUUAACUGAAAUUAUACAUAAUAUUUUAAAUUAUUUAAUUGCAAUAAAUCUCCUCCUACACAGUCUUAAUUGGCACAGGCUAAAUGGAGGAAGUAAUAUGCCUUUUUUUAUUCAUGCUCACCAAAACAUUUCCUUAGUAUUUGCAGCUUUGACCACAGGUGACUUUUUGAUGCUGGGCUUUUUGUUUGAUUAUCAAGACGAUAAGCCUCCUACACGGUGAAGGGUAGGACUAUGAGGCAUUGAUGAUUUGUUUCUGGACUUGUAAGGCCUCAACCUCAAAGACAGAACUCAGCAGUAUUAGAGGGGAAGCAGUAUAGGGCAGUGUUCAUCCUGGAUCAGCCCAAAUUAGAUGUCCACAAGGAAGCCAUCUAUGCAGAACCUAAAGCUGCAGGAAAGUGAGCCUGCUAAGUCAGUUCAUAUGAAUGAAGAGAAUGACCAGGAUAUGUUGACAAGCAAAGACAAAGGAACUAGAUGGGUAGAAAGUUAAAGAGGAAGAAUAUAAGGAAAGUGGAUGGAUGAUGAAUAUGAUACUUGUGUUGCUAAAAAUGAUUUUUACAACCAAGAGAGUAUUGAAAGAUAAGCCAGGCAGAGUGUGUGCUUGCAAGAAGUUUGGGGAAGCAAUAGCAUGAACUGACAUCAGUAACAUUACAAGAAUUUUCACAGGUAAAGAUAAAAGGGUUUCUGACUGAGGGAACAGCAGGAUCAAAUUUGUGGAUGCCUAGAUGUGCCUAAUCUCUUCAUAAAAUACAGAAAGUCUAAACUACGGAAGUCUAAAGGGGAAAGAGACUACCAAAAAGUCAUGUUGAGAAGGAUCCUGAAUUCCAUACUGCAGGCCAGUUUCUGUCUGCAACCUGGAAUCAUCUAAAAUUUCUGGAAGAAUCAAGUGGACAUCACUGAUACUUAUUUUAGGAAAUAAGCUUUGGAAACUGCACAAAGAGUAAAUGGGGGAGGUGAGAGUCUGGAAGAAAAAAUUGGCAAUGAUGUUCUCUCUUUUAUUGGGUGCUAUCCAUUCAGGGAUUAUGAGUGUUGCAGGCAGAUUGUCUUCAAGGUGUAUCUUGGUUGAAAUAAACAGCACCAAGGAUUAAAGCAACAGUAUAGAACUUCCCAGUACAGAUUAAGAGUAUAGUUUUAGUGAAUCCAGAAGGGUAAU
RNAcentral lists this long non-coding RNA (1401 nucleotides) under Homo sapiens (human). RNAcentral's name for it is "HSALNT0018926". Lineage: Eukaryota; Metazoa; Chordata; Mammalia; Primates; Hominidae. The record is from RNAcentral.